This is a long non-coding RNA of Anastrepha obliqua, 392 nucleotides long. RefSeq lists it as uncharacterized. The record is from RefSeq and is a predicted model, not a curated record. Lineage: Eukaryota; Metazoa; Arthropoda; Insecta; Diptera; Tephritidae. The transcript has 2 exons.
UUUGGCAGGGACCGCAAUGACAUUGAAAAUGCAGUGUAAGAAGAGAAACAGACAUUUCAACAAAGACAAGGAUAGCUGAUAUAGAAGCGAGAAAGCUCUAAGAUUGAAAAAAUUGAAGUUAAAGUGCAAAUUUUUAAUUAGUCUUUAGUUUUGAGUGUCGGUGUGUAGUCGAUAAAAUAGUGGCUUUGGUACAUUAAACCCGAUGAAGUGGCAAAGGAUCAUGGUGAUAUCAGAAAGAAAUCAUAGACCAUAAUGGAAUUCUAAACAACCUGCGGUGGUUUACAAAAGCUUUACGAGGCAUCAAGUCCGUGAAAUGUAGAUUUAUAAAUGUUAUACAAAAAUAUACAACAAAAUAAAAAAGUAAAACAAAAGCAAUAAGAAAAAUGAGAAAA